UUUCUUCACUUCAAAACUGGAAUACUCUUAAGGAACCUUCAAAAUCAUGUGACUGUAAGGAACCCUAUCUAACUAUCUUGGAAAGAAAGAAAACUUGAGCCUUUAGACUCGCUUGAUUAUGAACAAACUAACUUUAAAACUAGUUAAAAUUUGAGUCAGCUCGGUUCGAUUAUAUAUCCACUGCUGAACUAGUUAUGUGAUUGUUUAUAGCUUCAUGUUUUAUCAAAAUAUCAUUUAUCUCAUCUAACUUGUAUAUAUAUAUAUACCAUAGAAUAAGGACCCACGAGAAGUUAGUAGUCGCCUUUUCUUUGCAUGUGUGACAAAUUGAUGACUUAUGGCUGCAAAUUCCCCAGCUACCCCUCCUUAUUUACCCAAUCACGGGCCUCUCCUACUCUAGAAUCCCAUGUCUCUCAUUCUACCAAUGCCAAUUAUACCAACAAUACCUUUUCCUUUUCUUUUUCUU
Molecule: long non-coding RNA, 463 nt
Filed under: Ricinus communis (castor bean)
Lineage: Eukaryota; Viridiplantae; Streptophyta; Magnoliopsida; Malpighiales; Euphorbiaceae
Description: long non-coding RNA (RCOM_LNC002687)
Source: RNAcentral